AUGAUCAUACAAAAUUUUUAUGCUGGAUUGAAUUUUGCUUCUAGAAAUCUUUUAGAUUCGGCCGCAGGAGGCACUUUUAUGGAAAUCACUUUAGGAGAAGCUACUAAACUCCUAGAUAAUAUUAUGGUUAAUUAUUCUCAAUGGCACACCGAAAGAUCCACUAGUAAAAAAGAUCAUGCGAUUGAAGAGAUUAAUGUUUUGAGUGGAAAGAUGGAUGAACUUAUGAAAUUAUUUGCUAAUAAAAGUGUUUCUUCUGAUCCUAAUGAUAUGACUUUGUCCACUUUGAUUGAGAAUAAUAAUGAAUCUAUGGAUGUGAAUUUUGUUGGUAGGAACAAUUUUGGUAACAACGCAUAUAGAGGAAACUUUAAUUCUAGGCCGUUACCUAGUAAUUCCUCUAAUAAUUAUGGUAAUUCCUACAACAACUCUUAUGGAAAUUUUAAUAAGAUGCCCUCUGAUUUUGAGACUACUGUUAAAGAAUUUAUGAUUUCACAAAAGAAUUUCAAUGCUUUGCUUGAAGAAAAAUUGCUUAAGGUUGAUGAAUUGGCUAGGAACGUGGAUAGAAUUUCUCUUGAUGUUGAUUCCUUGAAACUUAGAUCUAUUCCACCUAAGCAUGAUAUCAGUGAGUCUCUCAAAGCCAUGAGAAUUUCCAUUGAUGAGUGCAAAGAAAGAACCGCUAGGAUGCGUGCUAAAAAGGAUUGCUUUGUGAAAGCGUGUUCUUCUAGUUUUCAUGAUAAUAAGGAUGAAGAUCUAAAAGUGAUUGGUGUGUCUCCUAUUAAAUCUUUGUUGUCUAAUAUGAAUCUUGAUAAUGAUGGGACUGGAGAUGAGUCAACUUUAGUUAGAAGGCGUCCCAAUGAUUCAGAGUUUUUAGAUCUUGAUGCAAAAAUUGGUAAAGGUGGGAUUGAAGAGGUCAAAACUUUACAUAGAAAUGAACCCACUAUUUUGGAUUUCAAGGAAUUUAAUUAUGAUAAUUGCUCUUUGAUAGAUUGUAUUUCCUUGUUGCAAUCCGCGUUAAAUUCUCCUCGUGCUUAUAGUCAAAAUAAAGCUUUUACCAAACAUAUCGUUGAUGCUUUAAUGCAAUCUUAUGAAGAAAACUUGAAUUAG
RNAcentral lists this ribosomal RNA (1101 nucleotides) under Triticum aestivum (bread wheat). Its description in RNAcentral is "partial small subunit ribosomal RNA". Lineage: Eukaryota; Viridiplantae; Streptophyta; Magnoliopsida; Poales; Poaceae. The record is from RNAcentral.